CCUACGGGAGGCUGCAGUGGGGAAUAUUGGGCAAUGGGCGCAAGCCUGACCCAGCAACGCCGCGUGAAGGAAGAAGGCUCUCGGGUUGUAAACUUCUUUUAUCAGGGACGAAGCAAGUGACGGUACCUGAUGAAUAAGCCACGGCUAACUACGUGCCAGCAGCCGCGGUAAUACGUAGGUGGCAAGCGUUAUCCGGAUUUACUGGGGGUAAAGGGCGUGUAGGCGGGAAAGCAAGUCAGAUGUGAAAACCAUGGGCUCAACCUGUGGCCUGCAUUUGAAACUGUUUUUCCUGAGUACUGGAGAGGCAGACGGAAUUCCUAGUGGAGCGGUGAAAUGCGUAGAUAGUAGGAGGAACACCAGUGGCGAAGGCGGUCUGCUGGACAGCAACUGACGCUGAGGCGCGAAAGCGUGGGGAGCAAACAGGAUUAGAUACCCGAGUAGUC
RNAcentral lists this ribosomal RNA (443 nucleotides) under uncultured bacterium. Its description in RNAcentral is "partial 16S ribosomal RNA". It matches the Rfam family "Bacterial small subunit ribosomal RNA", at positions 338 to 795 of the family's 1533-position model. The record is from RNAcentral.